RNAcentral lists this ribosomal RNA (468 nucleotides) under uncultured bacterium. RNAcentral describes it as "partial 16S ribosomal RNA". It matches the Rfam family "Bacterial small subunit ribosomal RNA", at positions 28 to 507 of the family's 1533-position model. The record is from RNAcentral.
GACGAACGCUGGCGGCGUGCUUAACACAUGCAAGUCGAACGGACAGGCCCUGCUUUUGUUGGGUGCUCGAGUGGCGCACGGGUGAGUAACACGUGAGUAACCUGCCCUUGGCUGUGUGAUAACUUCAGGAAACUGGGGCUCAUACCGGGUAGGAGCUCCUGCUCCAUGUGGGGGAUUGGAAAGUUUCGGCGGUUGUGGAUGGACUAGCGGCUUAUCCGCUUGUUGGUGGGGUAGUGGUUUACAAAGGCUUUGAAGGGUAGCCGGCCUGGGAGGGUGACCAGGGACAAUGGGACUGAGAGAGGGCGCAGACGGGUACGUGAGGCAGUAGGCGGGAACAUGGCAGAAUGAGCGGACGUGUGAGGUAGAGACGUUGGGAUCGGGAAGCUCUGUUAUUGGUGGAAAACAGAUGUGUAAUGAGACGUAGCGUUAGUGACGGUAACGGGUAAAGAAGCACCGGCUAACUACGUG